GCUGGGCGUGGUAGUGCACGCCUGCAAUCCUAGCAGCUUGGGAGGCUGAGGCAGGAGGAUCCUGAGUUCAGAGCCAGCCUCAC
Molecule: small RNA, 83 nt
Filed under: Marmota monax (woodchuck)
Lineage: Eukaryota; Metazoa; Chordata; Mammalia; Rodentia; Sciuridae
Source: RNAcentral